RNAcentral lists this ribosomal RNA (460 nucleotides) under uncultured bacterium. RNAcentral describes it as "bacterial SSU rRNA". It matches the Rfam family "Bacterial small subunit ribosomal RNA", at positions 340 to 789 of the family's 1533-position model. The record is from RNAcentral.
UACGGAAGGCAGCGGUGGGGAAUAUUGCACAAUGGGCGAAAGCCUGAUGCAGCUAUGCCGCGUGUAUGAAGAAGGCCUUAGGGUUGUAAAGUACUUUCAUCGGGGAGGAAAAAACAAAACUAAUAAUUUUAUUUCUUGACGUUACCCGAAAAAGAAGCACCGGCUAACUCCGUGCCAGCAGCCGCGGUAAUACGGAGGGUGCUAGCGUUAAUCAGAAUUACUGGGCGUAAAGAGCACGUAGGUGGUUUUUUUAAAGUCAGAUGUGAAAUCCCUGGGCUUAACCUGGAACUGCAUUUUGAAACUGAAAUACUAGAGUAUCGUAGAGGGAGGUAGAAUUCUAGGUGUAGCGGUGAAAUGCGUAGAUAUCUGGAGGAAUACCUGUGGCGAAAGCGGCCUCCUAAACGAAUACUGACACUGAGGGUGCGAAAGCGUGGGGAGCAAACAGGGAUUAGAUACCCGU